RNAcentral lists this ribosomal RNA (526 nucleotides) under uncultured bacterium. RNAcentral's name for it is "bacterial SSU rRNA". It matches the Rfam family "Bacterial small subunit ribosomal RNA", at positions 775 to 1296 of the family's 1533-position model. The record is from RNAcentral.
AGUAAAUAGAUACCCGGGUAGUCCACGCCGUAAACGAUGUCGACUUGGAGGUUGUGCCCUUGAGGCGUGGCUUCCGGAGCUAAACGCGUUAAAGUCGACCGCCUGGGGAGUACGGCCGCAAGGUUAAAACUCAAAUGAAUUGACGGGGGCCCGCACAAGCGGUGGAGCAUGUGGUUUAAUUCGAUGCAACGCGAAGAACCUUACCUACUCUUGACAUCCAGAGAACUUAGCAGAGAUGCUUUGGUGCCUUCGGGAACUCUGAGACAGGUGCUGCAUGGCUGUCGUCAGCUCGUGUUGUGAAAUGUUGGGUUAAGUCCCGCAACGAGCGCAACCCUUAUCCUUUGUUGCCAGCGGUCCGGCCGGGAACUCAAAGGAGACUGCCAGUGAUAAACUGGAGGAAGGUGGGGGAUGACGUCAAGUCAUCAUGGCCCUUACGAGUAGGGCUACACACGUGCUACAAUGGCGCAUACAAAGAGAAGCGACCUCGCGAGAGCAAGCGGACCUCAUAAAGUGCGUCGUAGUCCGG